RNAcentral lists this ribosomal RNA (663 nucleotides) under uncultured Synechococcus sp. RNAcentral's name for it is "bacterial SSU rRNA". It matches the Rfam family "Bacterial small subunit ribosomal RNA", at positions 100 to 795 of the family's 1533-position model. The record is from RNAcentral. Lineage: Bacteria; Bacillati; Cyanobacteriota; Cyanophyceae; Synechococcales; Synechococcaceae.
GGACGGGUGAGUAACGCGUGAGAAUCUGCCCUCAGGAGGGGGAUAACGGUUGGAAACGACCGCUAAUACCCCAUAUGCCGAGAGGUGAAAUGAAAUUCGCCUGAGGAUGAGCUCGCGUCUGAUUAGCUAGUUGGUAGGGUAAAGGCCUACCAAGGCAUUGAUCAGUAGCUGGUCUGAGAGGAUGAUCAGCCACACUGGGACUGAGACACGGUCCCAGACUUCUUUCGGGAGGCAGCAGUGGGGAAUUUUCCGCAAUGGGCGCAAGCCUGACGGAGCAACGCCGCGUGAAGGAUGAAGGCCUCUGGGCUGUAAACCUCUUUUAUCAAGGAAGAAGAUCUGACGGUACUUGAUGAAUAAGCCACGGCUAAUUCCGUGCCAGCAGCCGCGGUAAUACGGGAGUGGCAAGCGUUAUCCGGAAUUAUUGGGCGUAAAGCGUCCGCAGGCGGUUUUACAAGUCUGUCGUUAAAGCGUGGAGCUCAACUCCAUUUCAGCGAUGGAAACUGUAAGACUCGAGUGUGGUAGGGGCAGAGGGAAUUCCCGGUGUAGCGGUGAAAUGCGUAGAUAUCGGGAAGAACACCAGUGGCGAAAGCGCUCUGCUGGGCCAUAACUGACGCUCAUGGACGAAAGCCAGGGGAGCGAAAGGGAUUAGAUACCCCUGUAGUC